CGAAGGUGCCCGAGUGACGUCACACUUGUUUUACUUUCCUCCUGACCGCUAAUCUUCCUGGAAUCUUUUCUGUUCCAUUUGGAACUUUGAUUUCUCUUCAAUCUGGAAAUAUUUGUCUUGUUUUUUCACUGAAAAUUGUUUAUAAGUUUGUGCUUUUAUGAAUACAUAUUACUUAAAAUGAAUUUCGACGAGUAACGAUUGUAAACAAACAGUUUUCUGUAUAUGAGAGAAGUGAAUAUGGACUGCCGUGAAAAUAUCCAAAAGUUAGUUUUUGUUUUUAUUGAUAAAUCACUGAAAUUGAAAGAAUUGUGAAAGAAGUCAACAGAAGAAUUUCCAGUCGUAAAUUCUCGAAGUUGCUGUUUAUCCUCCACCGAAAAAGUAAGAAUUUAUUAAUAUUAUUGUCAAACCAUUUAUCUUCUUAAGUUUUGUGUCAAUUAUGAUGUAUAGGGAUAAAUAUAUUGAUUCUUAAACAAGAGACCUUUUUCUACCACUCAUCUACACACACACCUUUAAAAAUAAGUCUAUUACUUCAAAUGUUAAUGGUUUCUGUUAAGACUCAGCAAUUUUUAAACGAGUUCUUGACUAGCAUUUGGUUUGUCAACUUUUAAAAUAACUUUCAGUUCUUUAGACAUUCACAUGAUUAACAAGGCUAACGUGGGGUGGCUAGAAAUAGCAGUCAAAUUACUCUCAGAUCCAUACAAGAUCAUGCAAUUGUUCAGUCUUGGAGCCCAAUAACAAAUCAACUUAGUUGUUUAUGAAAGAAGUCGAUAUUUAGAGAGUGAAAACGUGUUUUUCUCUCUUUUUUGCUGGAGCACCGACUUUGGUCGAGCAAAUCGACCCCAGGACUUAUUCUUUGUAAGCCUAGUACUUAUUCUAUCGGUCUCUAUUGCCGUAAACACAACGCACUCACACACACACACACACACACACACACACACACACACACACAUAUAUAUAUAUAUAUAUAUAUAUAUAUAUAUAUAUAAACGACGGGCUUCUUCAGUUUCCGUCUACCAAAUCCACUCACAAGACUAUAGUAGAAGAUACUUGCCCAAGGUACCAUGCAGUGGGAUAGAACCCGGAACCAUGUGGUUCGUAAGCAAGCUACUUACCACACAGCCACUCAUAUAUAUACACAUACACACGACUGGUUUUAUUAAUUUUCCAGGAGGGUGGACUGCUAAAAAAUGCAGUGAAAUCUGGAUAUGCUAGAAACAGCAGUCAAAUCUCUUAUAUGGAAAUUUUCAUGUGUAUGUGUGAGUGUGCGUGUGUGCUAGUCACCCACCCCCACAUUCGCUUGACAACCGAUGUCGGUGUGUUUAUGUCGACGAAGCUGAGCGCCUUGGCAAAAAGUGACCGAUGGAAUAAGUACUAGGCUUACAAGGAAUAAGUCCUGGGAUCGAUUUGUUUCGACUAAAGGCGGUGCUCCAGCAUAGCCGCAGUCAACAUGUGGGAAAAAAGUCAAAACUGAAGAAGUUGGGUGGGGAAAGGCGGGGACAAAGUUUCACAAUGCCGAUUUUUGGCAAUUUUCCGAAAACGUGGAUUUUUGGCAGACACAAUUACGAAUUAAUUUACACCGAGGAAAUACGGAACUAUGGUGGCUGAAAAUUGAUGUCUGACUUUUCGCAAAGCAUUGUGGGAUUGUCGUCUGUAUGAUUUGAAUGGCGCGAGAUUCAGUUUUUUAUUGAAUAUUGGUCCUGCAGAGUGAAAGAAGUAAGUAAGAAAUUAUUAUUAGACUGGAGAAUGAUACUCCACAUCCCCAUUAAGGACUUUUUCGUUUUCAAUGUACUCGAGUGUUGUUGUUUAUGUUAUUGUUGUGAAGUGUGGUUGCAUGUUCGAAAUGUAAUUAGAUAAGUUGUCAACAGACAUUCUAACUGAUUUGUCAGUCGAGAAGCAUACAAUCUCUCUAUUUUUUAAUUUGUUAUGGCCUUUCUUAAUUUUGGUGUCAAGAUCACGGGUCUUAUUUUUUGUUCGUUUUUGUUUAUGCCUUUGGGUGUAAUUAGAGAAAGCUGACAGGAGUUUGGAUUUAGUAAGGGUAAACUUUGCUGUACUGGAACGAAAACAAUUGCAGCAUGGAAGGUGUUUAUAAGCCAUUUAAGAAACACACAAAAAGCGUUAGAUUCACUUUAAUAUUUAAAUUUAAUUUGUCAAAAUAUUUUCGUUGUUUUGAGACUGCGACUUCACUGACAAAAUUCCGUGCUGCAUCUGAGAAAGUAACAGUUAGUUCAUGAUAUAUAUGUACGUACGUAUGUAUGUAUGUAUAUGUGUACAUGUAUGUGCGCAUGCCUAUACGCAUGUAUGUAUGUACUUAUGUACUUGUGAGUAUUUAGGAGAAAUAGACGUGUCUGUGUGUGUACAUGUGUAUGUACUUGCGAACGUAUGUUUAUGUAAUAUGUGUCAGUUCAAUUUGUAUACUUGACUGUUACCUUGCCACUCGCUAUGCAAGUACAUCUCUUUCUCUCUCUCUCUCUUUAUAUAUAUAUAUAUAUAUAUAGAGAGAGAGAGAGAGAGAGAAGCAGAUUGUAACAUAGAUAAAUAUAUAGACAGAAAUAGAUAGUCAGAAGAAUAGACAUACCAACUACCAAACACCUAGAAAGAUAGACUGCUUGAUAGCUCGAUAGAUAUAUAGAUAGAUGCUUAUGUUUUUUUAUUGCUACUCAUCACUCAUUUUGUCCAUUUUAUGUUUCUCACCUGUACUGCCCUUUGUAAAGAAUUAGCAAACAGCUGUUUUGCAAUAAAGGCUUGAAUGGAUUGAGAGCCAUAUGAUAAACUGGUGAAGGAAGCAUGGAUUUAAACUCUGCCUUAUUAAUUGCUCAUUGGUGAAAUAGCAUAAAAAAUAUUGUUUAUGGUUAAGAUUUCUUAAUCAAUAUCAGUUUCUAUAUUAGUGUAUGCAUCUUUAGUGAAAUGAUGAUGAACUCUCUUACAAUAUGACUAUGUGAAUUGCUGAAAUUAUGGUAUAUUGUAAAUUUCACGAAUAUUUGAAUGACAGGAAAGCUAUCCUGUUUCCUAACAUGCAGAUUUAUUUUUCCCAAGUCAUUUGAUUAAUUGGUCAUGUUUGUAAAACAGGGGAAUGCCUCAAAUUUUAGAGGAAGUGGUUAAUUGAUUAAAUUGAUCUUAUUACUUGACUUGCACUUUUUUUAUCAACCAUGAAAGGAAGAGAAACAAAGUUAGCCUCAACAGGAUUUGAAACUAGAAUAUAAAGAGCUGGUAGAAAUAUUGGAAGGUAUUUUGCCAACACUCUAACAAUUGUGCCUCUCCACCAUCUUAAGUUUAAUAGAAUAAAAUCUGUGAAUGAAUUUUGAUGAAUUUCUUGUGUAGUUUUAAUGAAAGUUGGUCUCACAUUGCUUGCAUUUAUAUCUUUCCUGAGACAUGUAAAAGUUUCCAUUUGUAUAAUACUUGGCUGCUUGUCACUUCAAAUAAAGAGUAUUGAACUGAUAUUAAAGCCAAAAUUUUCCUUUCGCUACUAUUAGGAUGUUUUUCAUUUUUACUUUCAGGGUUAAAAAAUGAAUGAUUACACUUAUUGGUUUACAUGCGAACUUUUGUUUAUUUUAUAUCCUUCUAUAUGUUGGAUAUGCAAAUUUCACGAAGUGGGGAUAGACACACUGUCUUCACACAACCUACUUCAGAUUACUCCACUAAACACAAUACUCUAAUAAAUAGAAACUCUGAACAAUGUCAACAACUUCCAUGAACUCCCAAUGACUCUCUUUGUCUCAACCAAUAUGCUAAUUUUUUUAUAAGAGUUUUGCUAGUCCAUUCUUCCAAUCCCAUAGGGGUGCCAAUGACUCUCACCACAACAGUUUAUACAUGUAUAAUU
This 3817-nucleotide long non-coding RNA is filed under the name Octopus vulgaris (common octopus). The record is from RNAcentral. Lineage: Eukaryota; Metazoa; Mollusca; Cephalopoda; Octopoda; Octopodidae.